This 71-nucleotide transfer RNA is filed under the name Loxodonta africana (African savanna elephant). It matches the Rfam family "tRNA". Rfam says of the family: Transfer RNA (tRNA) molecules are approximately 80 nucleotides in length. Their secondary structure includes four short double-helical elements and three loops (D, anti-codon, and T loops). Further hydrogen bonds mediate the characteristic L-shaped molecular structure. tRNAs have two regions of fundamental functional importance: the anti-codon, which is responsible for specific mRNA codon recognition, and the 3' end, to which the tRNAs corresponding amino acid is attached (by aminoacyl-tRNA synthetases). tRNAs cope with the degeneracy of the genetic code in two manners: having more than one tRNA (with a specific anti-codon) for a particular amino acid; and 'wobble' base-pairing, i.e. permitting non-standard base-pairing at the 3rd anti-codon position. Lineage: Eukaryota; Metazoa; Chordata; Mammalia; Proboscidea; Elephantidae. The record is from Rfam by way of RNAcentral.
GCAUUGGUGGUUCUGUGGUUGAGUUCUCACCUUCCAUGCAGGAGACCUGGGUUCGAUUCUCAGCCAGUGCA